UACAGAGGGUGCGAGCGUUGUUCGGAAUUACUGGGCGUAAAGGGUGCGCAGGCGGCCGCUCAAGUCAGAUGUGAAAGCCCCCGGCUCAACUGGGGAGGGUCAUUCGAUACUGAUCGACUCGAAGGCAGGAGAGGGUAGUGGAAUUCCCGGUGUAGUGGUGAAAUGCGUAGAUAUCGGGAGGAACACCAGUGGCGAAGGCGACUACCUGGCCUGUUCUUGACGCUGAGGCGCGAAAGCUAGGGGAGCAAACGGG
Molecule: ribosomal RNA, 253 nt
Filed under: uncultured bacterium
Lineage: Bacteria
Description: partial 16S ribosomal RNA
Rfam family: Bacterial small subunit ribosomal RNA
Source: RNAcentral